CGCGGGGUGGAGCAGUCUGUUAGCUCGUUGGGCUCAUAACCCAAAGGUCGGUGGUUCGAAUCCACCCCCCGCUACCA
RNAcentral lists this transfer RNA (77 nucleotides) under Gemmatimonadota bacterium. Its description in RNAcentral is "Gemmatimonadetes bacterium tRNA-Met". It matches the Rfam family "tRNA". Rfam says of the family: Transfer RNA (tRNA) molecules are approximately 80 nucleotides in length. Their secondary structure includes four short double-helical elements and three loops (D, anti-codon, and T loops). Further hydrogen bonds mediate the characteristic L-shaped molecular structure. tRNAs have two regions of fundamental functional importance: the anti-codon, which is responsible for specific mRNA codon recognition, and the 3' end, to which the tRNAs corresponding amino acid is attached (by aminoacyl-tRNA synthetases). tRNAs cope with the degeneracy of the genetic code in two manners: having more than one tRNA (with a specific anti-codon) for a particular amino acid; and 'wobble' base-pairing, i.e. permitting non-standard base-pairing at the 3rd anti-codon position. Lineage: Bacteria; Pseudomonadati; Gemmatimonadota. The record is from RNAcentral.